This 74-nucleotide transfer RNA is filed under the name Labilithrix sp. Its description in RNAcentral is "tRNA-Arg". It matches the Rfam family "tRNA". Rfam says of the family: Transfer RNA (tRNA) molecules are approximately 80 nucleotides in length. Lineage: Bacteria; Pseudomonadati; Myxococcota; Polyangiales; Labilitrichaceae. The record is from RNAcentral.
GCGCCCGUAGCUCAGCUGGAUAGAGCCCUCGCCUUCUAAGCGAGUCGUCGGUGGUUCGAGUCCACCCGGGCGCG